AGUUCGUAUGCAGCCAUCUACAAGACAUGAAGGUAUUUGUAACUCGUUUCCACAACGAAAAUAAGUGCAACCCUCGACUGGAAAAGACUUUUCCUCCCUCCGGCUUACCAGUCCAGAGCUAUGGAAAAGACGACACUCUUAAGAAGGCUGUCUAAACGAUGAUGCCCAUGAUGGAAAUUGCGCAUCUCUCUAGCAAUAUUAUCGACCGAAGAUUAUGGAAAUUAUUCAUACGACCCACAGUUAAGUUUGUUUUAAGAUGAUGCCCAUAAUGGAAGUUGCGCAUCUCUUGAGCAACAUCAUCGACCGAAGAUUAUGGAAAUUAUUCAUACGACCCACAGUUAGCAAAUUUGUCUUAAGAGGGAAAGAAAGACCAUCAUUGGAAAGACCUGCGCCAGUGGAACAGAUUACAAGAGGGACCGUGGGAAAGAUCUGCGUGAGAGGAACCGAGAUUUACUACAAUAGGGAGAAGACCGCUGGAAAGAUCUUCGCUGGAGGAACAGAUUUUGAAGGCGAUUUUACCAAAUGUGUGUGGCUAAGAUAAUUUCUCAAUUUAAUCAAAUUCAUCUGAAAUGUCCUUUAAAAAUUUUUUAAUUGCUGAGAAAAUAGAUAAUUUCUCGAGUUCAUAAACAAUUUCCCGAGGUUGCUGUUCAUUUUUAAAGGGUAUAUAGGGUACCAGAGUUGCCAACUAGUUCAUUGAAGGUAUUUUUUUUGGAGUUAAAUAAGAUUUGCAGUGAGCCGACCACCCAACAUAGUGGUUCCCACCCUACGAAGUUGUUGUUUGUUGUUUGAGGAUUAAGCUGGCUUUAUGCCAGCACGGGCUUUAGCUAAAAAGCAGCCCGUAGUCAUUUGAAUUAUUUUUUAGGUAAAAUGGUGAUUUAAAGGUUAUUUGGUGAGCAUUUUAUUUGUGAUCUCCAUGGAUUAUGAAUUCAAAAAGUGAAAGGAAAGGUGAACAGGCGAGGUUACAAACCCCUUUAAACCCUAGAGUACCCAUUAGUAUUAGAUAAAGAUCGAUAGUAGCGAGUCCUGGCGAGUCAGAGAUGGCCAGUAAGGAAAUCGAAAAAUUUAUCUUAGUAGAAAAACAAAAAAAACGCACAAAUCUAUGGAGUUCAAGUACCAUAUUUCAUUAAUCGAUAAUAGGAUAAAAAGCGCCGAUCGUUAGUGGUAGGGAUCGACGAAAAAAGAACGAAAUUUUAUAAGUUUUAGAAAAAGCAAAACAAAAGGAAGCGACAGCUUAAGCGGUAGUUAGUGACAGUUGAAAUAUUCGGUCGUUAGACAUGAGGCGGCCGAAAAACUGAGGGGAAAUGAGGAUUAUUUAGUAGUAGAAAAACCCUACGAAGGUUGUGGCGUUCCUUAUAUUCUCAUCCCCAUCCAUCCGGACAAGCAGGUUUCCUGUGGAGUCGCCAACUAGUUCAUUCUUGUGCGGUUUGCAGUAUUUUUUGGAGUGAGCGUCCAGUUCGGUGCCCUCGAAUGUUGUGGCGUCCCUUAUAUUCUCCUCCCCGUCCAGAGAAGCAGUUUUCUGUGGAUUUCUCAGUCACCUGCAAAGUAUAACAUUACUUUUCAGCUUCUAUGCUAAUUCAACAAAGCUGUUCAGCUUCUAUGCUAAUUCAACAAAGCUGUUCAGCUUCUAUGCUAAUUCAACAAAGCUGUUCAGCUUCUAUGCUAAUUCAACAAAGCUGUUCAGCUUCUAUGCUAAUUCAACAAAGCUGUUCAGCUUCUAUGCUAAUUCAACAAAGCUGCAAUGCCUCACUGUUAAACGGCAGAUUUGCACUAAAGUGUAACUAAGCAGCAUAAACAUGGCCUUGACAUGCAAAAUUAAAAGAAAAUGAUAGUGACAAAAAGGGCUAUGUUUGCUGCAUAGGGAAUUUAAAGACAUUAUAUUUAUGACUGUCUCUUUAACAAGGUUCGACAAUAUACUUAGUCACAAACUAGUACUUGUAGGCUUAGUAUAAAUACUGAAUAUAGAGCAAAAUAGAUAUCGGCAAAUUUUGUAGGACACUAAAACGUAACAUUUUACUGUAACGUUAUCCUAAACAAUUCAAAGUUAUGUUGCUUCUUCGACCUCUUAGUUCGGAACAACAGGUAUUUCAAAAACUAAGCACAGGCGGUGACAGUUAUGUUAAUAGAGAGACCCAGUGCGAUUUCGCAUUUUGGAAUAAAAAUGAAAAAAAAAAAAAAGUCUACAAAUAUUGUUUAAUGAAGCUAUUCAAGAUGAGUUUCCAUAAGUAUUUUGUUUUAGAAUUAUUUCAAUUAUAUGCGGGAAUUUAUAUGACGUUUUAGAGUUAGUUUAUUUACACCAAACUUCAUUUGCCCUUUACGGUAAUUAAGUAAAUUUAGGAAAUUGUACUUAUUAAAACAAUACUUAAACUAUUGAGUUUACGAUGCAUUAUGGGGAAUUUUAGACUUAUUAACUUUUAAAACUGGUGUUUUAAAACAGACAGAAAUUAGAGAGAGACAGAGAUUGAGUUAUAUACUAAUGGUUGCAGAGCAUGCAAACAAACAACGCGCACAAUCUGUAUACUGCUGCUUAUUAGGCUUACGGUUUACACUACUUAUAUACUACGGAUACAUACUUCACAAGGGAGAUUGAUAGUCCUCCGAGUACUGAGUAGGGAAUGAUGUAAAUAAUCUUUUUAUUUAACGUUACAAUUCGUUACCAAAAUGCCGAGCUCAAAGGAGAUUUUUUUUUAUUAAUUAAAUAUCCAUUGUGUAUUAACUUGGUUAACAAAAAAUAGCUAGAUUUUUAUAUUCUAUAUUAUUGAAUGACUGUACAUUCAUAGACAAAAUGGUAAUUUUUCACUUUGUUUUUAAUCUAACUUCAUCUUUCUAGGAAAACUUCGCUACAUAAAACGAUAAUUGAAGCAAUUAUUAUAAAUUAAAUUGUUAACCACUUUUUUUUCCCAAAUAUUCUUUUAUGAAAUACAUAUCCAUGGAAAUUUUCCUAACUUUACCCACUGGUAGAAAAUCUUUUACCAUGGUAAUAAAGCCAAAGAAAAAUAGAUAAUAGAUUCUAUAAUUUUGCAAAAAAAAAAAAAAAAAAAAAAUUAAAUAAAUAAAAAUACUAAUGCUGAUCUCUUUGAUGAUAAACAUAUCAUUUGGGUCCCAAAUUUCUAAAUCCCAACGUUGAGUCUAUGAAAUAUAUAUUUUUGUAUCUUUAUAAAUCAUUGUAAGGAAUUAUAUUAGAGUAGAAAUGUAGCUUGGAAAGGUAAUUUAUUUUAUUUUAAAGAAUUAAACUUCCCGUAUAUUUUACAAAUACUCUUAUUUUUCAGUUUCCAUAAUGAAAUAAAACAUACAUAUUCAGGUUGAUUAAAUUUAUAUUGAAAAUUUAUGGUUAUUGUUUUUACUCAAGAUUUCAUAUUUAUUUGAAUCUUAUUUCGUGAAUCGUAAAAUCAUAUCUUAUAAAUUUUGAAAUCCAGAAACGAGAUGGAAUUAUGUUAGGGACACAAACUAAUAAACAGUCUUCUCUAAUAUAUGAGUGUGAUGUUGAGCAUUCUAAUAGAUACCAAAAGGGGCAAAUAAAAAUAAGCGAACACCAAUGCCUAAUGAUUUCUUAUGCCCAUCGUGACUUCACUUGAAAGUAGAGAAAAAAUAUUUGACGAAAAUUUGUGCAAAUGUAUUUCAAAUUUAUUUUUACCCAAAUGCACUUUUUUCGUAAGAUGCAUAGUUUUUGAAAAAAAUGGAAAAGAUGGGAAAUGGCAUUUAUACACACAUUUUGAGAGGGAACUUUUUUCUGUGAAAGAUAUUUGAUGGCAAUGCUUUUACUUUUUAUUCCCGGUUGGCCCAUUUAUCGGAGAAACUGUGCUGGACUAUAUUGUUAUAGAGGCCUUUAAUUCCAACCACUUAAAAGACCAGAGUAGCGGUUAUAGUUACGUGUGUAUACUGUCUAUCUUGACUGAAAAAAAAAAUAAUUGGAAAGAUAAGUAACUUGAAGAGUAUGCAUAACGCUAGUUCUAUAACAAUGCUAACAUGCUUUUUCAGUUUCACUUUACCAUCACCACUCAAGGAUAGUAUGGGGCAAGUAUCUCGCACACAUCGUAUCUAACUAAAUGCUCUACACAAACCUCCAGCAACUUCUAACUCAACAACGCAUCCAACCUUAGUUUUCUCUCUCAUUCUUAGUGAACGCUGUCUUAAUCAUUUAGAUUGAUCAAAGAUUCAGUCGCACUCAGGUCCCAUGUCCGGUUACAUGAAUGUGACAUUCCUUGUUACUAUCUUUUUAUCAUCAUGUUAUAACCUUUCCUUCAGAUCGGUGCUUCUUUAACAUGUGAAUAAGUCAUUUCCUUAACUGGUGAAUGAGCCACUGAGUGAAUGAAAUCUUUUGAGGGGUUGAAUGGAA
Long non-coding RNA from Macrobrachium nipponense, 4333 nucleotides. RefSeq lists it as uncharacterized. The record is from RefSeq and is a predicted model, not a curated record. The transcript is spliced from 5 exons. NCBI's taxonomy places the organism in Eukaryota, Metazoa, Arthropoda, Malacostraca, Decapoda, Palaemonidae.